GCCUGGGUGGCUCAGUGGUUGAGCUUCUGCCUUCGGCUCAGGGUGUACUCCUGGGAUGUGGGAUCAAGUCCCACAUCGGGCU
Molecule: transfer RNA, 82 nt
Filed under: Canis lupus familiaris (dog)
Lineage: Eukaryota; Metazoa; Chordata; Mammalia; Carnivora; Canidae
Also listed under: 1 other name
Rfam family: tRNA
About the family: Transfer RNA (tRNA) molecules are approximately 80 nucleotides in length. Their secondary structure includes four short double-helical elements and three loops (D, anti-codon, and T loops).
Source: Rfam by way of RNAcentral